ACCUAAAAACCUGAGAAACCUCAGGAACCUGAAGCUCGAGCAGAUAGUAGUGGUCCUCGCCUUCGCUUUCCGAUUGAGCAAUCGAUGUUUGCUCCGAGGAGCCUCCGCAGACACUGCCCUAAACUGUCUCUUCUCUCGCCAAUUCGAUCCCUCCAAGCCAAGAGGAAAUUGGCAUUGCUACUACGGAAACUCAAAACAUCUGCCUGCCUCUCUACAUGAUCCGGGGCUAUGGACCCUAGAGCAUCUUCAUUUAAGAAGUUUGGCUUCAGAAACAAACAUUAUGUUGGUGUUUGUGGGUGUCUUUUGUGGAGUUGUCCAGAAUAUGUGGAUGCUGUGGAAGUUUCGCAGACUCUACAAGUUUGUUGUGAUAACUUCCUGGAGAACAGAAUCAAGAAAAUGGCAACUAAGCUAGCAAGGCUGAGCGGUGGAAGUUUCGCAGACCAUACAAGUUUGUUAUUAUAACUAACCUAAAGAAAAGAAUCAAGAAAAUGGCAACUAUGCUCGCAAGGCUGAGUGGUGGUAUUGUGAUAAUAUUAUCAAAGCCAUAAUCAUGUUUCGCGGAAAUAAUUCAAUAUCUUGCAGUACCAUUACAAAAAGGAAGUUUCAAAUAAAGUUCUGUUAUGAUACCUCAGUGAAGUGCCACUGAAGGACCUGAUGGAAGCAACGUGGAUAUUAAUGUCUGCAUCUUUAUGUGCAGGCAUUAUUCAGGCUCUUGAAUCUCAUAAGCUAAAUAUAAAGAAUAUAACAGGAGCCGUGCACAAGUGGUGCUAACCUUGAGGAUCCAGUUGCCAUGGCUAGUAUUUAGAGAGUCACCUCCUCAUUCUUCAAUGAAAUUAGGACGGGAGUCCUUACGGGGGCGCUAUCAGUAAAAGAGCCUGAUAAUACAUUGAGACAUUCAGAACCCCCUGAGCAGUAGGUGUUAGACAAGUUCAUUGCUGUGAUUGAGGAUACAGCAGAGGAAGAGGAGUUUACCCGAUUAAGGAUUUGGAACGGAGAAGAAUUUGAGGGGAUACAGAAGAUCCGAGGCACUUGAAAAUGACAUUAAUUUCCAAUUAUGAGAUCAAAAGGAGAAGGGCUCGGAGGGCUACAUAUGGCAAGGUAGAGGCCUAAAUUUCAGGGUGAUACAGAAGAUCCAAGGCACUUGAAAUUGACAAUUCCAAUUAUGAGAUCAAGAGGAGAAGGGCUUGGAGGCUGCAUAUGGCAAAGUAGAGGCCUAUCAAUAGUGAUUACAAAGGUGAUGAGGGGGAAUUCACAUUAUAAUGAUAUUGCAGAUGCUAGCGUUUUGACAGUGAUGCUCGUGAUUUUUGAUGGAAACGUGAGAACUGAGAAGUUUCAAGGCAUUUACAAGAGAUGGUGGAAAGGAAUAUCUAAUUGGCAGAGGGAAAAAUGAUAAGCACUUUAGCAGAAAUGGUGAAGCCAAUAGUAGUAAGAUAAUAUCGGAGAAAGGUACUUAAUCGGGAAAUAUGUUCAGCGGUUUGAUAACAUUGCGGCACUCUGAUUAUGAGGAAGAACAUGAAUCAACUCCAUCAAGAGCUAUGCACUAAAAAGAUCAUAAGACAUUCUGUUUCAGAAUGUAAUCGCGUAGUUGGCUGCUAUCACAUAACCUAAUUUUGGAGUCUAGUAUAAGACAUGUGCUAUCUAUUUGUCUUUGGUGAGAACUUUCAAUCAAACAAGUCUGUUUUGCCUCUGGUUGAGCUAAAUUUGGCUGAGAAAUAGUGGCUUCAGUGGAUUGAAAUAGAGCACAAAGGCAAAGUGAUUGGUAUCUUGUUGAGAAUUUGCUUGAAAGUUAUGGUUCUCUGAUCUUUAGGUUUAUAGCAAAAAGGGAAAGACUGGGUCUGUGCUCUCAUGAAUAACAGAAGUAAAAAUUGCACCUUGUUGGUCAUUCUGUUUUGAUCCCUGAUAUAGAAAAGAAAGAAAAGAGAGAGAGAGAAACCAAAAAGGUUAAUUUGGUAAUUUGAUGCUGUACCAAUAACCUGUUUUUAUAAGUGAGAAUCUUGAAUCAAAGAUCUCUGCUUGGCCUAGCCUCCUCCGUCAAUUAGUUGUUGAAGCAUGUCUUUGGAGACGUGUGUUUAUCGUAGCAGAGUGUUUCAUUUACGUUCACCCUUCCAGCUGCGAGGGAAGGACGAGCUUUUAAUUAUAUUAAAGCUCUUCAGGAUGAAAGCAAGCCGCUGUCAGAGGACUGAUCCAUUUACUGUUGAAAGUAGAACUCUAGCAGUUGCAACAGAAUUUUGGGUCAAUUUCUCUAGUAUUAAGCAAUCCAACAAUAGGAGUGAGUACACACAGAUGAUAGCUGGGUCUCUUUCAAGCAUGGGUGUCCCGGAAGCUGAACAUCCAACUAUCAUUGAAAACAUAUACCUGGUCCUUGACGUGGCUGUCUCCCCCGAGCUGCCUGUCAUUGUGGCCGUUUGGGACAUGACUUGCAUCAGGUGUAGUCCCGAUCUGGUUCCUGCAGUACCAAAUAUUGUUGUUCCUGCAACUAGCUCAUCAAUUGAGGAGGGUUUGGAGGAAGCAGAGGCUAUAGUUGCAGAGACUCCAUCAUGUGUUAUUUGCACCGAGGAUCUUCCACUAGGCGAUGAACAACUGAUUAAUCGUUUGCCCUGCAAACACCAUUUUCAUGUGCAUUGCAUUCUCCGGUGGCUGGAGAUCAGUGGCGUAUGUCCACUCUGCCGAUCUGAAUGCAGCCAGCAACCAUAUCCUUGACACUAGUUAAGGCUCAUGUAAGCCAAUGCGACCUCACUUAGAGGUGCUGCCAAGAGGUGCCCAUGUCUUGUUUGUUUCCUUCUUACUUGCCUUCCUAAUCAAUAAGCUUGUUUCCUUCUUACUUGCCUUCCUAAUCAAUAAGCUGCUACUAAGACAAAUAAAGCUUAAGAAUUGUCGUAAUGUAUCAUCUUUUAUUUAAUUUGUUGGGAACCAUGCGACAUUUCCUUCCCUCUAUUGUCCUGCUUUAUUUGCUGAAAUUAUAAGAAAUUUGUACUUUCAUUUGAGAUCAUACUCAAUUGCUUGUUGUCUGAUUUCCUAAGACAAACUAGCUGGAUUCAGUCAUGAUCCUUUGCUGUUUACCUUUAAACCAAAUGGCCAGAUCACUAAGACUUCUAAAAGCAAGUCAUCUUCUGUUCUUUUGUUCACUUUACUGUUCAUAUUUGGUCAUGAGAUUACAUAUCAUAUGGUCCAAAUUUGAUAUCUAAUGCCUUCCCGUCAUAAGUGGCAAGCCCACAGCCUCCCUUUCAUGGUUUCUUCUAUGUAUAUAUAGGUCUGGUUAUAUGAGAAUGUAAUAGUCUAGGUUUCACUUGUCUUAAUUUAAGUGAGUGACUUCUCUCAAAACAGGUUCUACUUUGUGUUGUCUUCUAAUUCCCCGUGAUGUGAGUAUGCUUCGGAUAUUAAUUAGUUAGUGACUAAUGUCAAACUUGAAAUAUAAUCAAUAGCUAGCUAGCAGUUGGGGUUGGCUAGCCAAAAUGGUGAGAGUGUGGGAAAAUUGAUUAGGAUUAGAAAUGGCAUGGGAACAAAGUUUUCUCUGUCUAACAUUCAAAAUGAUCCUCAUUUGGUAUGUGGCUGGGCUGGAAACUCAGUGCCAAUAAGACUAAUCAUAAGUCCAAAUUUCACUUGUAAGGAUCUUCUUUUGCUACAUAGAAAGUCCAUAAUUAUGUGUUCGAGUUGUGGGUCAUCACUUUCAAAUAGGGAUGUAGAAAUAUGAGUUUCAAUUUCUAUAAAACAUGAUAAGCCUUUGUGCAUGCCUGUAGUAAAUCCCUGAUCCUAUCUGUAAAUAAAUCAUUACAUUGCUGUUCCCCUUUAGUCAAGAUAUUAUCUUUACACGACUGAUGAAGAUUUGAUAUCUAAUGCUUUUCCGUCCUAAGCAGCUAGCCAGCUGCUGCAUUUGUAGUUUCUUCUAUAUAUGAGAAUGUAAGUACGGAUAUCUGCCAAUGUCCGUUUGGGUUCUAGUAGUCUGAAAUAAGUGAAUGACUUUGUAAUAAUGAAACAUGUUCUACUUUGUUUGAUUAUGUCUUGGAUAUUAAUCACUUAUAGACUACUGUCAAUACUGAAUUAAUCAAUAGUAGUUAGCACUUUGGGUAUUUCUUCCUGCACACAAACAUAGCAAUUUAAAAGCUAAAAACUUCACAAACAGUAAAUUGCUGAUUUGUGAUCGCAAUUCAUCGUCACUCACCAAUAUGCGAUACCUGACAUGCAGACAAAGAGCCUCGAGUCGAGGACAUGAGGCAAAUUGGGCUAGUACUCAAGGUAAUGAUUCUUUUAGACCUUCACAAAGAAAAAGCCUUGCUUAUCUUGCAGCUUUGAUGCAAGAAAUCUUCACAAUCUUUCGAUCAUAUUCUGAGGUAAGAUUAGCAGCGCAAAUGUCUGUCUUUUUUCUAAUGUGUUACACCAGGUAAGGAGUCAUAUGUCUUUGUUUUCUGCGUUAUGAAAUUCUACUCACAUAUUUAGUGAGUGUAUAAACAAGUCAAACACGGGUGGAUACCUUGCAUCCGGUGAGGAGUUUGCUCAUCACUGUAGGCGGAUAUCUUGUAUCCGGUGUUUGACUGGACGUGUGCAUUGAUGUCUGUUGGCAUGAGGCUAGGGUUGAAGUACAUUGAUAUCAUACUCUGAUGUCCAGCAGAGUUUACCUAUCUGCAAAACGAUAGUUUUUGAAUGCAGUGCAAAUGGACCAUCAUUUAGAGAGGGUUAUGACUAUGCUAGCACAACAGGGAUGUGAGAGAAAGGGAAAUACAUGAGAAAAUUGUGUGAUUCUGUGCAUAUUUAUUUGAAUUUUCUAAUUGAUUGUUUUUCAUUUGUUUUGGUUUUGACAGCAAAAAGGAGUUGUGCAGGAAAAAGAGUAGCAUUUGUGGGCUUUACAGCCUUAAGUAAUAUACAAGCUCAAAUGGAGUGGGCUUUGUGAUACGGAAACAGUGUAAUUAAUCACACACUAGGGCCAUAUGAAAUGUCAAGUAUAUUGUUUGGUUACGGGAUGAGAUCAAUUUUUAUCAAAUUGAUGAUGGUUGUCACUGCUAACUUAACGUUAUAAAUAAUGAGUUUUUUUUAUCUACAAUUGCUGCUAAUCGUGGCUUUCCAUUCUUAUUUGUAUAUUGGUGAAAUGUGAUGCUGAUCUUGAAUUCCUGAGAUGCUUUUCUGAGUUUGUUAGGAAGGGAAGAAAGAAGGCAUCUGCAACUAUUGUUUGUUUCGACACUUAUAAAUGGUAUUCUAGAUUCAUGUUCAUUGAAAAUAUUAAUUCAUCUCAUUAGAUUUGUUUCAGAAUAUCCACAGCUUGAUAAAUGUGAGAAAAACUUUGUAGGACAACCAACUCUCGAUGCUUUCCUACAAAGG
This is a long non-coding RNA of Rosa chinensis, 5310 nucleotides long. RefSeq lists it as uncharacterized. NCBI's taxonomy places the organism in Eukaryota, Viridiplantae, Streptophyta, Magnoliopsida, Rosales, Rosaceae. The transcript has 3 exons. The record is from RefSeq and is a predicted model, not a curated record.